RNAcentral lists this ribosomal RNA (253 nucleotides) under uncultured bacterium. Its description in RNAcentral is "partial 16S ribosomal RNA". It matches the Rfam family "Bacterial small subunit ribosomal RNA", at positions 524 to 776 of the family's 1533-position model. The record is from RNAcentral.
UACAGAGGUGGCAAGCGUUGUUCGGAAUUACUGGGCGUAAAGGGCGCGUAGGCGGUCUUGCAAGUCCUGUGUGAAAUCCCUCGGCUCAACUGAGGAACUGCACAGGAAACUGCUGGGCUUGAGUUCGGGAGAGGGAAGCGGAAUUCCGGGUGUAGCGGUGAAAUGCGCAGAUAUCAGGAGGAACACCGGUGGCGAAGGCGGGUCUCUGGGCAGUAACUGACGCUGAGGAACGAAAGCGUGGGGAGCAAACAGG